AUUGAACGCUGGCGGCAUGCCUUACACAUGCAAGUCGAACGGCAGCAUGGAGAGCUUGCUCUCUGAUGGCGAGUGGCGAACGGGUGAGUAAUGCAUCGGAACGUACCGUGUAAUGGGGGAUAACGUAGCGAAAGUUACGCUAAUACCGCAUACGCCCUGAGGGUGAAAGCAGGGGAUCGCAAGACCUUGCGUUAUACGAGCGGCCGAUGUCAGAUUAGCUAGGUGGUGGGGUAAAGGCUCUCCAAGGCGACGAUCUGUAGCGGGUCUGAGAGGAUGAUCCGCCACACUGGGACUGAGACACGGCCCAGACUCCUACGGGAGGCAGCAGUGGGGAAUUUUGGACAAUGGGGGCAACCCUGAUCCAGCCAUGCCGCGUGAGUGAAGAAGGCCUUCGGGUUGUAAAGCUCUUUCGGCCGGGAAGAAAUCGCACAGGCUAAUACUCUGUGUGGAUGACGGUACCGGCAUAAGAAGCACCGGCUAACUACGUGCCAGCCGCCGCAGUAA
This 504-nucleotide ribosomal RNA is filed under the name uncultured bacterium. Its description in RNAcentral is "partial 16S ribosomal RNA". It matches the Rfam family "Bacterial small subunit ribosomal RNA", at positions 30 to 523 of the family's 1533-position model. The record is from RNAcentral.